This 602-nucleotide ribosomal RNA is filed under the name Trichoderma gamsii. Its description in RNAcentral is "eukaryotic LSU rRNA". The stretch from base 207 to 361 matches the Rfam family "5.8S ribosomal RNA". Lineage: Eukaryota; Fungi; Ascomycota; Sordariomycetes; Hypocreales; Hypocreaceae. The record is from RNAcentral.
CCAUUGGGGACGGACGGAGGGAGGUUACCGAGUUUUAACACCUAAACCCAUUGUGGAGAUAAUAAAAGGUUGUUGGGCGGGGGGCGCCCCCGGGGGUGCGCAGCCCCGGAACCGGCGGCCGCCCCGAGGGACCAACCAAACUCUUUUUUUUUUUCCCUCCCGGGACGUUUUUUUUUACUUCUUGAUCAAAAUUUCAAAUGAAAUCGAAAUUUUCAUUACGGAUCUCUGCUUCUGGUUUCGAUGAAGAACAAAACGAAAUGCAAUAAGUAAUGUGAAUUGCUAAAUUCAUGAAAUCAUCGAAAUCUUUGAAACGCACAUUGCGCCCGCCCGCCUUCUGGCGGGCAUGCCUGUCCGAGCGUCUUUUCAACCCUCUAAACCCUCCGGCCGGUCGGCGUUGGGGAUCGGGAACCACCUAAGACCGGAUCCCGGCCCCGAAAUACAGUGGCGGUCUCGCCGCACCCUCUCCUGCGCAGUACUUUGCACAACUCGCACCGGGAGCGCGGCGCGUCCACGUCCGUAAAACACCCAACUUCUGAAAUGUUGACCUCGGAUCAGGUAGGAAUACCCGCUGAACUUAAACCUAUCUAAUAAGCGGAGGAUUC